AUUUAUGUAGUUUAUAAAAACAUUACAUUUUCACUGUAAAAAUAAUAGAAAUAUUCUUAAAUA
RNAcentral lists this transfer RNA (63 nucleotides) under Coptotettix longtanensis. RNAcentral describes it as "tRNA-Glu". RNAcentral also lists the same sequence under 1 other name. Lineage: Eukaryota; Metazoa; Arthropoda; Insecta; Orthoptera; Tetrigidae. The record is from RNAcentral.